Molecule: non-coding RNA, 921 nt
Organism: Paramisgurnus dabryanus
Lineage: Eukaryota; Metazoa; Chordata; Actinopteri; Cypriniformes; Cobitidae
Source: RefSeq, a predicted model, not a curated record
CGGCACGCACAGAGAUGAAAAAGGUUUAUAUGGAUUUUUCUAACUCUGGGGAUACAGUGAAUAAGCUAAAGUCACAAAAAGUUGUCGUGUUCCUUUAACAUGAACCCAUUCCUUUCAGUUUUUCAUGCCAAAGCCCAUAAUUUUAAAUGUGAGGUAUGGAAAAGUUGCUAUGUGAUAGAAAAUAAAGUGAACAUCUAUGUAUAUUUUUUUUCUUUAACUAGGUGAAAUGGAGUGGGGCAAAUGCAGGAUGUUGCUGUAUUAACACUAGGAGAGGAGGUGGGACAGUGCAGUACCUUCCUCUCUAGGAUUGCAGUGACUACAAAACAAUUGUGAAAAGCAGGACGCGCAGACAAUCUGCCUCUCAUGGCCAUGCGCUGGAAUCAGCAAAAGUUUAACAAUUUAGCCAUCUCAAUUACUCGUCGAUAUCAGAAAACCAAAAAGCUCUGGAAAGCCAGUUAGAAAACCUAGAGUCCAUGAAAGCCCAAUUGGCAGUGACAGAAAGCUAAUUGGAAGGCUAGACUCUGUACAUCUAAGUCAGCUUGGAGACUUCAGGAGGAGCAGAAGAUGCUUGUUGCAGAGAUGGACCAUCAUUGGAAAUCUCUAAGCUUGUGCUGAUGCCAUCAGAGAGCUGUCCUGCUUGUUUUCUAAUGAGACAAUGAAAAAUUCACCAUGUGGCCUAAGUGAAGAGGGUCUAAAAGGUCUGCUGAGCACCAUUCUCAGAGAGCAACAUAAAAUCAGAAAAAUUUGCAAGCAAGAGACUGUUACCUACAAGUUUUGUCUGGAGCAGAGAACAUCAACUUCUUGUACAGUGCUUCACCUGAUGAGUACGACAGUGACUUUGACAUUUCUGAUGAUGGUCUGUAAUCCACAAGACUGUCACCUUCCAUCAUUCUGGACAAAGACUUCUAACUGUCAACAUAA